RNAcentral lists this long non-coding RNA (1226 nucleotides) under Anser cygnoides (Swan goose). Its description in RNAcentral is "lncRNA (ENSACDG00005010628.1)". Lineage: Eukaryota; Metazoa; Chordata; Aves; Anseriformes; Anatidae. The record is from RNAcentral.
GGGUCUACCCUCCGGCCCUUCUUGUAGAUGGGCGUCAUGUUUGCUAGCCGCCAUACAUAAUGCAUACAUAAUGAAAUAUACUCCAUAAUUUGUGUUUAUUAAAAUUUUCUUUUCACAUUUCUUUUACACUUUUGUUAUUAGAUCUUUUAUUGAAUGCUAAUGGAGGUUAUUCAGCUUGCAAGGGAUCCUUGACAUUUUUUCAAGUAACUUAUUUAAAUCUGAAUUCUACCAUCCCCGUUUUGUUCUCAUGAUGCUCACUUUCUACUGUUCUUUUCCACUUUUUAUCAUGUAGCAUUGUAACUACAUUAAAUUAGUAAUGAAAAAUGAAACCACAGGAGUCCACUGUAUUCUAGGUAAUGACUGAUACGUCUUUUCACUUGUCUGCAUUACAUUAUAGUGUCAUAACUUUCCUUUAGACCCAAUAAUAUUUUUCAUUAUUGCACUAUCCACAGCACAGAACUGUAGGGGCUUGUUCAGAUUCUAACAAUAUUUUCCUUAAGUAAAUCCAUAUCUAAUAACAGCAUUUAUUUUCUCUUUCUUUUUCUUGUUCUGUAGUGGAAGGCAGAGCACUGAUUUCUCUUAGACCUCAUAUUGGUUUUACAGGUGCUCAAAAAUGUCAUCAAUGGAUAUUAAAAGAGAUACAUCAGGAAAUAGAAGAGGCCAAGGUACAGUACUGCUCAGGGGCUACAAAAUCUUUAGCUUUGUGCCUUGGUGUCAAGGGCAUUAAAUGGGAAUUUGCCAUUAAAGAAUGUAUGGAGUAUGGGGCAGUCAGUGGCUUUUGAACUGAAAUCCUCCCUGGGUGAGUGUGUGGAGUCUGCCCAGGUGACAAUGAUUCUCCUGCUUACUCUGUACAGAUGCAUCCCAUCUCACUGCAUCAGCUGCUGUAUUUAAGUAUUUAAGGCAGGUGUGGUUUUUUUUUUUUCAUUUGUUUGCUCUUUCCAUUUCUUUGGGUCUGUAUGUUGGGUGGUUUGCACACUGGUACAGGACUGUUAUUUCUAGUGUUGCCUUCCUUGGGCUACUUUUCCUUUGUUGGCUUGCAGCAGAGCCAAGCUUGGAGAGUGUGCGAUGUCGCUGAGAGACCUGACUCCGUGGUGGCUUUAUGGGUAUGUGCUCAUCCUGAAUAUCAGAUUUAUGGAAAUAAAUGUGGUCCAUGUUAUCAUCAGUGUGCAGGAAGCCUAGCAAAUAUUGGAGCGGGCAUAAGCCCACAAACUGCUCAGAGUCUCUAA